CGGAAAACGGAUGGUACCUGACGGCCUUUGGGCCAAUCGACAGGAACGUACCGAUGGUGGCCCGCCCCCGCAUUCGCCCUAUCUCAAGUCGACAGGAAAGCCGAAACACACGCCCAAACCCUAUUCUUCUCCCUCUCCACCGCACUCAGCCACCACCACCACAUCUCCAUGCAACUGUCGCUCUCCCGAAGCUGUGCCGCCGCCACAGGCCUCCCCAAUCCCCGCAUCUCUCUUGUGGUGGUAGGAUGAAGGUGCCGCCGCCGGUGUCCGAGGAGGGCGCGCGCCCCUGCUUCUCCGCGGCGAGCAGCGACGAGGCAUCCGCGUCUCCUCCCAACGCAGGAGCGUCUGCCGGCCUUCUCCUCCUGGCCGAGCAGGUCGCAGUCCCACAUCCAGCCCGUCUCCCCGUCACCAGCCGUCGACGCCGCCACUCCCACCACCGGCGAUGCAGCCGACAGCGUCCCCUGCUCCUUCCUCCCUCCGGCUGCAGAUCUGCAGCAGAUCUGACCCAGCCCGGCCACCACCGCCCCCAUCCAGAGAUCUGGCGUGUGGCGGCCCCCUCCUCGGAGCUCGACGCCACGGUGAGAUCCCGGUGUGGACUCGCAGGAGGCAGCGUCGUCGGCGAUCGUCGCCAUCGUCGUCCUCGAGCUAUGCGGCCUUGCCGUCAUCCCCUAGACGCGCGCUGUCGCCAUGGGUCGUCCCCAUCGCCAUCCCCUCAUGGUCGCGUGACUCGGGUCAUCGUCCUCGUACUCGAGCCGGAGAUACCGAUGUGCCAAUUUUUCCCAUCUUGUUAGGGAUAAGAUUCAGAUUCACAGGGACUUGAUUCAUCAGCAGUUCAGCACCCCCAGUUUUGCUUAUAAGUCAGAUGAUGGAGUAGUCCAAUAUUAUUAAGUUAAAGCUGCAAGCACGCACUGAACAUUGUGAGUAUCUUGAACUACAGAUAUCCCACAUAAAUAGUAUUUGAUGAUCCUUUACUAGUCUGUGGAGAAACUUCUGUUAUAUGUGUGAACUUUGAAGUUAUUUCCAAUGUAUAUAAUAAUCACAUAUAUCAGGAA
Molecule: long non-coding RNA, 1052 nt
Organism: Panicum virgatum (switchgrass)
Lineage: Eukaryota; Viridiplantae; Streptophyta; Magnoliopsida; Poales; Poaceae
Exons: 3
Source: RefSeq, a predicted model, not a curated record